GUGCCAGCCGCCGCGGUAAUACCGGCAGCCCGAGUGAUGGCCGCUAUUAUUGGGCCUAAAGCGUCCGUAGCCGGCCAGACAAGUCCGUUGGGGAAUCGGCGCGCUCAACGCGUCGGCGUCCGGCGGAAACUGUCUGGCUUGGGGCCGGAAGACCUGAGGGGUACGUCCGGGGUAGGAGUGAAAUCCCGUAAUCUCGGACGGACCGCCGGUGGCGAAAGCGCCUCAGGAAGACGGACCCGACGGUGAGGGACGAAAGCCAGGGUCUCGAACCGGAUUAGAUACCCUGGUAGUCC
RNAcentral lists this ribosomal RNA (293 nucleotides) under uncultured bacterium. RNAcentral's name for it is "partial 16S ribosomal RNA". It matches the Rfam family "Archaeal small subunit ribosomal RNA", at positions 455 to 747 of the family's 1478-position model. The record is from RNAcentral.